AAUUUUGCGCAAUGGGGGAAACCCUGACGCAGCAACGCCGCGUGGGUGAAGAAGGCCUUCGGGUUGUAAAGCCCUUUUGGCAGGGAAGGAACCAAUGACGGUACCUGCAGAAGAAGCACCGGCUAACUCUGUGCCAGCAGCCGCGGUAAUACAGAGGGUGCAAACGUUGCUCGGAAUCAUUGGGCGUAAAGCGCACGUAGGCGGUCCGAUAAGCGGGGAGUGAAAGCCCUCGGCUUAACCGAGGAAGUGCUUUCCGAACUGUCGGACUUGAGUACGCAAGAGGAUCGCGGAAUUCCCGGUGUAGAGGUGAAAUUCGUAGAUAUCGGGAGGAACACCAGCGGCGAAGGCGGCGAUCUGGGGCGAUACUGACGCUGAGGUGCGAAAGCGUGGGGAGCAAAC
This 399-nucleotide ribosomal RNA is filed under the name uncultured bacterium. RNAcentral's name for it is "bacterial SSU rRNA". It matches the Rfam family "Bacterial small subunit ribosomal RNA", at positions 360 to 773 of the family's 1533-position model. The record is from RNAcentral.